CGUAAUAAUAGAAACUAACCAGGAUUCCCUUAGUAACGGCGAGUGAACUGGGAUACCAAUAUAAAAUAUGCACUCUGUGCAUAAUUUAGCCCGUCGAUACUAUCCUAGCAUAUCACCGGUCUCGGCCGGUAACCAAAUAUGCGGGAAUUGUAGCAUCGUAACAACACAAAUAUAUACGCACACACACAUAUGCCUCACGCCUCACAGCACGUACUGACAUAUCUUGUAAACACACAGCGUCUCCGCGUUGGAAAGCAAGUAUAUAUCCUCUUUGGAUAUGCCAUAGAGUGUGACAGCCACGUUUGAAUCACUCAUAUAUGCAGUAUACAUGCUACUCACACACACACACUCACGGCGCGGCGUGUCGUGCGCACACACUAUAUAUAUAUAUAUAACCUGAGUCGAGUUAUUU
Molecule: ribosomal RNA, 412 nt
Filed under: Ammonia sp. T3V
Lineage: Eukaryota; Foraminifera; Rotaliida; Rotaliidae
Description: partial large subunit ribosomal RNA
Source: RNAcentral